Bufo gargarizans (Asiatic toad) is the source of this 744-nucleotide long non-coding RNA. RefSeq lists it as uncharacterized. The record is from RefSeq and is a predicted model, not a curated record. The transcript is spliced from 3 exons. NCBI's taxonomy places the organism in Eukaryota, Metazoa, Chordata, Amphibia, Anura, Bufonidae.
UAUGACUCUUUACCAACAGAUUCCUGUAACUGUGGACCAGCAGAAGGAGUGUGAGGAGGUAAUCAGCAGAUCAUAUUGAUUGAAAGGGCAUGUACGUCUGUCUUUGUGAUAGUAAAACUGUUAGUUCCAAUUUGGGAAGUGUCUGAAUUUUGCCCAAGGAUACCAGAUCUUCUGGAAGGAGGCGCGAGUCUUGGGGACCCAACACAUCUUUGUCUGACUCCAAUUGAGUGGGUGCCACAAUCUUAUCAGCGCCUCUGUAGAAAAGAGAUGGAUUGGAUCUUGCGGUUUAUCUCCCUGACACCGCAGGGUCUGAAUGAAUCCCUGGAAUAUACUAGUUAUUAAUCCAGUUAUUUCACAUUAAAUCCCAGUGACCGAGAUACGAUCAAAGAAAUUAGGAGUCAUUAUACAGAAACAUUACCCAGACCCAGAAGACGGAUGAGAGGAAGUAGGGGGUGUCAGAGCUAGCUGAGAUCCUGACCCUGAUAAAAUAACUGCUUCUACAAAGCUUCUGAAGAUCACAGGAGCCUCCUGCCUUUCUGUUCCUUAGGUUCAGGUCUCUCUUCUUUUUAGAGCCAAUGGUCCUUUCCAUCAAGGACCCACCAAGGAUGGAGAAGGACAGAGACCACAUGGCUGCGAGGAUAUUAGACCUCACCCUGGAGAUCAUCUCCUUGAUAACUGGAGAGGAUUACACAGUAGUGAAGAAGUCGUCUGGUGAGUGUGUGACACCCCGUGUGUCAGGAGGAU